Rattus norvegicus (Norway rat) is the source of this 12959-nucleotide non-coding RNA. Lineage: Eukaryota; Metazoa; Chordata; Mammalia; Rodentia; Muridae. The record is from RefSeq and is a predicted model, not a curated record.
AGACAACACACACUCGAGUCAUAGAACAUGGAGAAUUCAAGCUGGUACUGAUCUGGAAGCAUCUCCCCUACUGACUAGCUUUCACAGUUCUAGAAGAUUCUACGCAUGCCAACCAGAGGAGGAAAAUAAACUUCGUUCUUCCACAGUUGGGAGCCUUGUGAGUUCCACUGACAAUCUGCCUGUGGAUGGUUGAUUAAGACCCAACCAACUGGUUAAUGUGCUUAAGAGAUGCCAGAGUGCUUAGCCCUGAAAUGGAACAUCAGUACCACAUCCCUUCCUCCAGACUCAGAGAUCGUGAUGGAAGACAGAGCAGAAAGUUUACAGGAACCAUACGCAGUCUGAUAACCUGUGGACAACAAGGAAAACACUUUGUGAGAUUUCUGCAAGAAUUAAUGACCUCUCAGGAACGCCAUAUAAGCUCUUGCCCCUGCUGCCUUUCCAAGAUGUAAUUGGGAUGAAAGCCUUCCAUGUUUUCAUCCGUCUCGCUUGUUGCCAGAGGAGCUCUUUCCCUGUCAAUGUCUCUCAAGUUAAGGCGGCAGCAGAACGAGAUUUCGCGUGGACUCAGAACUACCUCGAGACCCUCACUACCUCCUCCCGCCAUCUUCCGGAGACGCAGGUUAGCGCUGAGCUCCAAGUCCUCGCCAGCUUUCCCCGCCAAGCGGUCCUCAGCCUCCAGGCCGGUGGAAACUACAACUCCCAGAAUCCCUAGCGGGGCGGGAGGAAGGCGGGGAGCGUACAAAGCGGCGCUGGAAGCUAGCGGCAGUGAGGCCGCGCUUGGGGUCCGGCAGCUCUACGUCCCCGCGGCCCGAGGCGUCAGCUGCGUGGGCGCUCACGCAGGGCGGGUCGCGCGGUGCCGGGCGAGAGGGAAGUCGUGGCGGCGGCGUCGGCGUCGGGAACAGCAGCGGCGGCGGGAGCGUGGUGCUGACAGGCCGUGGGAGAAAUGGGAGACCCAGGGCCGGAGAUAAUAGAAUCUGUCCCACCAGCUGGGCCCGAGCCAUCAGAGUCAACGGCGGAUGAAAACGAAGAUGACAUUCAGUUUGUUAGUGAAGGACCGUUAAGACCCGUUCUUGAAUAUAUUGAUCUGGUCAGCAGUGAUGAUGAAGAGCCUAGUACCUCUCACAGUGAUAGAAUGCCUGAAUCUAAGGUGCCAUCCUCUGAGAAUCAUCGCCCAGAAAUGUGCUCUAGCUGCAGUGUUCCUCUUCCCAUUGGAGACAGCAGUUCCUCCUCUGGGAGCUGUGCCAGCAGUCCACAAAGAAUAGUUUCUCAACCUUCUUCUGUUGAGAACCCACUGGAGAACCAGAAAAAUGAUCAGAAUAAUUCCGAUGCUAGUGUCUCUGAAAAAGAGACACUCAAAUCACAAAGUGACCAGACUCUGCCUUCAGCCCAGGAGGCUUUGGCUUUUUCUGAGGUCAAAGAGGAUUUACCUGGCACAAUGUCUUCAACUUCACAGAGUGGACAGGAUGCCAUCCUGUAUCUCCAGACACAAGUGGCUGAGAUGUCCCGAGUCAUACGUGAUCUGCAGUCCAGGAGUUGUUUUAGAUUUCAUCAUUCUAGGUCAAGUGAGAGCUCGUCAGUUCCUUGGGAUAUCCCCGCCUCCAAGGAGGACAGUUUAUCCACAGUCGAAGAGGAGGGUGACUGCAAGUCUCCAUCAGCUGAUGACAAAGGGCAGCCACCUGACCCCAUGCAGUCUAGUUUCACAGGUCUUUUGAAGAGAAUGGAACAAAGGGGUGUUAUAAAGAGGGUGACAUUCCAAUCUGAAGCCGAAACUUGUGAGGGGAAGCCUGAUUGGAUGACCUCUAAAAAACGCUUGGUUCCCCCACUGCAUCCUCUUUUGAGAAUUGCCACCACAGAAGUUUUUAAAGACCCUGCUGAUUGCCAUCCUUCUUCCUUCAUGGGACACAGGGUUUAUCCUGUGGCCAAGGAUACCUCUCCUUUCCAGCCAAAUCCACCAGCUGAGGGACCCAUCAUAGAUGUAUUAGAACAUAGCAAAAGAGGAAACACAACAUCUCCUUUAGACUCUACCUCAAAAGAAAUGGAGGUCAUGGGCUGCAGGUUCUACCAUGCUGCUUCCAUCGCAGCCCGGGCUGCUAGCUACAUGGCCUAUAUGACGCAGUACCAACGUAAACUGUGGGAAGACAUGGAAGAUCUGGUUCACGACCCGGAGUUUGAUCGUGGGAAAGCAAGGUGUAUAAUAUCUGAUGGCAUGGAUGCAGGCCUUUGGCAGCUUUGUACCACUAGGGACAUAAUGGACUCUGUAGUCAGAGUUAUGGCCAUGGCAGUAGACUAUAGAAGACAGGCCUGGCUCCGGCUAACAUCUCUCACUAAGAAAACCCAGGAGAAGAUCUUACAUUUGCCCUUUGAUGGUACAUCUCUUUUUGGACAAGAUGUGAAUGCUAUUGUUGCAGAAGACAAUAGUAUUAAAGAAAAUGACUAUAAGGACCACAGUAAAUACUAUACUCAGCAUCGGUACUUUUAUAGUCAUGAUCAGAAAGCACACUACCACAACAGAGGGUACUCCAAAGGGGAUUGGUACAAACCCCGGAAUCACCCCUAUAGAUAUAGAAAAAAGGGAGAGUCUCCAGAACGACAUGGGUAUAAGAACUAAUGCUUUGACUCUGGUGGUUUAGCAGAUUAGCCUUCCAAGAUUUUACCUGUUUUUCCCCAGGUUGAAGGUCAUCUCAAAAACAUGAGUGCAUGUCUAGAAUAAUCACAGCUGAUGUUUGAGUUCUAGACUUUUAGAAUGAAGUAUAUAUAAAAAGACUUAAACUUUAUUGGCCAAAUGGAGACUUUGUUCUAAGGAGUGUUGGAUAGAGGUUUACACAGUAUUUUUGGUCCAGAAGCGUACUCAGGAAUCUUCUGGAAUUAAAAGAAAAUACAUAGAUUCAUGCCUCAGGAGAAUCUUGUUGGUAAACUGAGGACUAGCAGAGUUUUGGAUCUGGAAACAAUAGCUACUAGAUCAGUGUUUACUAAGACUGAAGUGUAAAACCUCCAUUUGAGGUCAUCAUUGCUUCUGGAACUUCAGGAUUCAGCUCAAUGGGUCAUCAAAAAAUGAUAGAUUUGUUACAUACAAUCCCGAUGUUAAGAUGAUCAGCUACCAUAGUUCAUUACUGUUCUCAAGCUCUGUGAGACUUCAGAAUUAACCCUGAAGCUAUGUGUCUGCUGGAAUUCAUUAAACAUUUGCCAAAUCCAGUAUACUUAUAACUGGGUGACUAAAUGUCACAGGUCUACUUUUGGACUUGAUAUGGAAAAAAUAUGGAAAAAAUAAUACCUGUAACAUCACUGUAGAAAAGAUAAACUGUCUUCAUCCUGACUAUGAUGGGCUACCCACCAUACCAUCGCUACGCAUAGCACUGCAUGUGAGAUAGCUUCGUUGUCAUCAGUUCUACUAGUCUCUGACUUACCAAGCUCUCAUAUGAACCACCCGUGAGACUCAGGCAUAGAAGUCUCUCUAAUGUGGGCCCUUGAGUGAGAUGGCCUUCUUAAACCUGUCUCCUAAGCAGUUGGUUCUUUUGAGCUGGAUAGUGCAUUGCAUUCUCACAGUAGACAGAUGCCUCAUCAUGGCCCUGGAAAUACAGAAUAUUCUUUCUAUCAUCCAGGCAUGCAAAUGUGAACUCUUUAAGAGCAAGAAUUUCAAACAUGCCUGACAAUCUGAUCUCUCUUGAAAUAAAGAGGGAUGCCAUUAGUCUAGACUUCCUUGUGAAAUCCUUGAUACAUGAAGUGUGACUGGUUGUUUUCAAGAUACACAGAUGUUUCUGGAUAUCUAGAUAAUAAUUCCUUUUAUUGAGUUCUUAAAAGGCUGGAAUCAAGACUUCAGUGACAUGUUCUUGGUUAAGUGGUUAAUUUAUCAUGUAAUCUAAUUGGACUCACUCUGAGAUGACUUAACAUUUUGCUCCCAAUAAUAACUCCACCUUUUUGGAGCUGGCAGCAGAUACCUCAGUUAUAUUAAUGUCCCACAGUAUCAUCUCUUUAAUCUCAAGGCAAUGGCUGUAUGAUAUACCAGCCCCUAUUUCCCUGUCUUCACAGCAUGACAAAGUAAAGAAAAUGUCAAGUUUGAGGAGAUCUGAACACUUAACCUAAUGUAACUUGGCAGCCAAAAAAUAAUUUUUUCACAGAUGUAAUUCUGUGACCUCUUGGUUAUUCAAACAUCUGCUUUUUCCUAGUUUUUAAUCUGCUUGAUCAAAAUGUUUUAGGUAUAUACUAUUAAUGGAAUAUAGCACUGUCUUAAGGGUUUAUGUGGUUUCUGUUUCUUCUAGUAGUUGACGUUUUCUGUGAUGCUCACCCUUUGUAAUUCAUUAGAAAACUUCCUACUUUCAUACCCAUAUUCAGCAGCCUACUUAACCUACAUUUCUUCUUUUUUGUUUUUGAGACAGGGUCUUAUUACAUACACCGAACAGGCCCACAACUUGAUAAGUAGUACAGGUUGGCCUUGAACCCAUUGGGAUCUGCCUCCUGAGUGCGGGAAGUAAAGACGUGUGCCACUAGGCCAAGCUGCUGAUUUUCAUUUGUGCCAUAUAGAUCGAAGGCACUAGUUUCCCACUUUGGAAGAUGCUACUUUACCAGAUAAUUUUAGUACUAGUCCUGUUUUAUUUGUAGACCAAACAUGAACUAGUUUAUCAAGAUUGUUUAGCAAAUUUAACUGAAUUGUAUCUAUAGUUAAUAUUUACCUAAUUUGUCUGUAUUGCCCAUAAAAGUUUACUUUGACUUUCUUAGGGUCUACCAGGGUUCUUUAGAAUGUUUCUGAAACAAACUCCAGAAAAACUGACUUUUUUGUAGCUUGUCCUCAAUGCUCUUCAAAGGGGUAGACUUUAGUCCAUAACUAGCAGUGCAGUGCUCCUCUGAGAAAGGGGUAGCCACCCGCCCAGACCUCACUGGAGAAAGUCUGCAUGUGGCUUUGUGCAGCUCUUUAACCAGCUGGGGCUGCUUCCGCUCGUUUGUUCUUUCCCAUCUUGCUCUGAGUUAGAUGCUACACAUCACAUGUGAGUUAUGAGAUACUCUUGUUUAAAAUCAAGACAAAAUGAUGAUUGGAGAUGUGUUCUUUGAAACUGUUUGGCACGCCCACCUAAUUUAUUUGUACCAAUCCCUGCUUUAUAGUAAACAGCAACAAAAAAGCACAUAAAAUUUAGCACUUUAACAAUUUUGACAUUAUUGUACAGCUCUUAAGUAUUUUAAGACAGCACUACUCUCGUCUUAGAUGUUUGUGUUCAUGAAUGAAAGUAACAUUUCUUGACCACUAAUUGAUAAACCCAAGCAACUCCAAAGAAUUGAGUUUUUCUGAAAGUGGAAAGUGUCGGAAAAUCACCAAAUUGGUGAUCAGACAGAGGACCGAGUAGAAGUGCUUGGCAGCUGAGUGGUUGUGGACAGUGCAGUAGUGUAGGAACGCUUAGCUCUAGUUACUUGACUCAGUAAUAUUCCAGUGUCCUUCACUUGUUUGUUUCUCUCUCUCUUUAAUCUGGCAUCCUUGACUGAUGAUGGUGUAAAAGUAAAAGUUGGUACUUGAUCUAAUGAGACACCCCAGUAGACAGCUCAAGUAGAAGGUAGCAUUUAGAUUGAACCAGAUGGAUAUUUAGAUUGUGUCUACCGUGUGCACAGCCUGCAUCAGAACUCCCAUUAGGUUGAUUUUUCAGUGAGACUACCCCUUUUUUUUCUAGACACCUUGAAUAGUGUCAGUUUAAUGAUUUGGUUUUUCCUUUCAUUCAAAAUGUCAUCUCUUGACUAGACAUAAGAUGUAUUUGGAGACAAUAUGAUUUUUGUAGUUAUUAUAUAUAGAGAAAUACUAUUUCCAUUUAUUGUUAUAUAAAGUGCCUUUUUAAAUUUCACUCUUAUGUUUAAGACCUAACCUUUGAUGUGGUAUUUAUGUGACUUCUGUACAGUGGUUUACUCUUAGUUUAUUAUCUUUAUUAUCUGUACAAUUGCACUAUUUAAAUGGACUCCUUCUGAAUCCUAAUUUGUUCUCCUUAUAGCACUGUUACUAAUUUCAGAAGGUUAUAGAGUAAAGUUCCCUCUUACCAUCAUAGAAGUUGUUUUUAGUUUUAGUGGCUGGUUCUGUUUUCUAGACAUAAAGUAGCUCUUUGAUGUCUUUGCAUGUUCUAGAUUGUUGUGAUUGAGUCAUCUGUCUUGUAUCUAACCUCGUUCAUAGCCAUAGCAGCACCGCUUAUAUCUGCUAAAUGGAUGUGUUUCCUGGGACAGACAAAGCAAGGACGCUAAAACAGUGAAGUUGGUGGCACUGUGUAUUUAUAGAGUAUUCUGUGGCAGCUUCCUUAUCAGUGUAAUGACUUCCUUUUUUAAACUGGCAGCUUCUUUAUCAGUAUAGUUGCAUUUAUUUACUUAGCCUUCAAAAUGUCAUUUUGAGGGCAGUAUAUACUCUUUCAGGCUACUUUACUGCAUUAUACCUAAGUGACCUGAUUGAUAGUGUCCUUAAGGGCCCGAUACAUCCAGGAUAUAUACCUCUCAGGUGUUAUAAGCAAGGAGGUUUGAAAAGACAGAGUCCGUCCAGAAUUCCCCUCUCUCUAUAGAAUUGCAUACCAAUUAGGGUGAACAUAGAGAUUAGCAGCGUAUUCACCAUUCUUGAAGUUAAUUGGGAUUCUGCUGAAGGCUUAAAAUUAUGGGUUAGAUCUCUUUAGAAAUAGAGGAUUGCAAUAACUAAAAACUUCUUUUCUUUAAUGUGAGGCGUAUUUUGCCCCAGUCUUACACUGUCUAGUUCCUGUUUUUUGAAAUUUACCCUUAUGUACUUAAUGUUGGUGGCUAGACCGAUACCUGAUUGUCACUGUGGGUACAUCUUAUGCAUGUCAUUUAAUCGGUCAGAUUGGUUCUAUAUGGUUUUUAGUGGACAAACUAGUCAGUUCUUUUCAUUUAAAUUUUAGAGGAAGUUACCAGUAAGUAACUGUUGAUUAUUGUAUUGAAUGCAAAUCUUUCUUCUCAUAUUUAACAAGUUUUAUAAACCAUUAAAAUGUAUGGCGUUUCCCUUCCUGAAGGUUUUUGAGAAUGCUGUUUUAUUAAACCCUUUUUCUCUUAUUGCUGGAGCCCCAUUUUUGUACUCGUGUGUCAUUAUUUAUUUUACUUUAUUAUAGUGCACUUUUGUAACAUUUGGAGCAUUGAGAUCGUACUCCUGGAGCGUGUACUCAUCUGCUGUGGGAUGUACAGGUGGCCUCAAUUCAGUUGUGUCUGACUACGGGGCCUUAUCUAGCUGCUCAGGCUGCCCCAGAUGUGAUUCUCAUGGCUCCUGGGGGCAGGGCUUCAGGGCUGCGGCACCUCGCUGGGCUUUUAGUCCUGUCCUCUUGGUGAGGGCUUGUGAUUUUGAUCUCUUUCCCCAGAACCUCUUUCCAAAAGGAAGUCUGAUUUCCCCCCUCAUCUCUUUGAUAUUGGUAUUUUUAAUUCUACCAUUAUAUGCUUAACGAAAAUGUUAUAUGUGUGUGUGGGAGGGGUGUGUCUGCGUAUAGUGUGUGUACAUAUCAUGUGGAGACCAGAGGUUAAUGUCAGGUGUCUUCUUUAUAUACUUGACAUGUUUUUUGUUUCUUUAAGACAGGGUCUUUUACUGAACAGUGAGUUCACAGGGUUGGCUAGAGUGGUUAGCUAGGGAGGUCCAGGGAUUUCCCAUCCCACCCCGACUUCACACUGGAUUACAGACGCAUACCCCUGUGCCCCAUACUCUACAUGGGUAUUGCAGUACUUGGGUCCUCGUACUUAUGUGGCAAGCACUUUAUCUGUUGAGCCAUUUCCCCACCUCUUCCUUGCUUGCUUGUUUCUUUCUCCCUCUCUCCCCCAUCACCCUUCCCUCACUCCUCUUUUCUUCCCCAGCCACUCCACCAACCCACUAGCCAAGUGUUUGAUAUGAAUUUAUAUAUUUAAAUGUCAUUUAAUUUGUAUUUUUAAUAGUCAUAAGCAUUUGUGGUAAGAAUGUUUUUAGUUUUCUCUAAAAUCCUUAGAAUUGCACAGGGAUAUAGGAGUGAAGCUCAGUGGGGAUAGUACUGACUAAUGUGCAGAAAACCCUGGGCUCAGACUGCUUAAACCGGUCAUGGGGCUCUAUGUCUGUAAACCCUGCACUUAGAGUGGAGGUCAGGAGGAUCAGAAGGUCAAGAUCAUCCUUAGCUAUGUAUCAAAUUCAUGGUUCUCAGGGUCUACAUGGGACCUUGUCUCAAAAAGGGUAGGAAAAAUCAUAGCCAGCUGAGUCUCAAGUGGUCCCUGACUGUUGAACUUCAUGUAUUUUAUAAUGUCCCAUUCAAUGGCAUUUUCGUAGUUUAAAUGUAUUGUUAUUUAUUUAUUUAUUUAUUUAUUUAUUUAUUUAUUGUUGUCACUGCUGUUGGUUUUGUCUUUCUAGUGUCUUCUGUAGUCUAGGUUGUCUCUGAAUUCAAGAUGAGUCCACCUCACUUUGCCAAGUCCUGGGGUUACAGGAGUGAGUCAUUGUGCAGGCUUCACAGAUACAUUCUGUAUAUAGUAUUAGGGUUGAAUUUAGUAUCAUACAGUUAAUUUAUACCACCGCUCUGAUAUUUCUCUUAAAGUUAACCAAUCUUUGGGUUUUAAGGGCUUUACUAGUUUUUUGAGGGAGCUAUUACAGAUAGUAUAUUGGGUGUUUUGAGGUCAGAGUUCUUGGGUUUCUCUUAGAACUCUGAAGACCUCAGGCUUUGUUUUCCCAUAUUAUAGUGUGUCUGAUAUCCUUGACUCCUCUCUUUGGAAUAAAUAAAAAUAAAUUUAUAUUUGGUGAUUUUUUUUUCCAACUUUAAAUGUCUCAAGCGUGGUGGUUAGAGGCUCUCUUAGUCCUUUUACAAGGCCAGCUUCUCACAUGCUCCUUUCUUCAUGCGCUGUAUCCCGUGCCUGCUGCUCUCUUUCAGUAUCUGUGAGAGUGACCCAUUACAGCAGUCCCUUUGAAGGAACAGUUAGCACUCUCACUUUUGUCUGUCAUAGCAGACUCACACUCCUUGGAUUUAAAAUGCAGUUUUCAAGUUCAGUAACUAUCAUGCUUAGGGACCCUUUGCAUCUCUCUCAGUUAGUGAGGCGACAUUGACCAAAAGAGUGGCUGAAUGAAAUGACUCCAGGUCUUUAAGGCACAAGUUGUAUUCUUGUUGCUUUGCGUUGGGGUUGGAGGGUGUGUUUUCAUAUUUGGUCUCACUGAAUCACCCAGACUGGCUUAGGACUUGGUGCAGUACUCCUGCUUUAAGUGAUGGGAUUCCAAGUCUUGUUUGAAAAAGUAUUUGAUUGCUAGCUAGGUAGGGUGGGAAUUAAUACCUUUAAUUCCCAGCAUUUUGAAGGCAGAUGCAGGUCGGUCCACAUGACCUGUUCCAGGUCAACCAAGGAUACAUAGUGGAACGCUGUCUCAAAAAAAAAAAAAGAAAGAAAGAAAGAAAAGAAAAUCAACAAUAACAAAAUACUUUUUUGUUGUGGCAGUUUUCCUGCUUGAAGCGCAGCCCAUUCCUUAAUAAGUAAAAUACACUUAAUGUGUAAAUAGUUCAUUCAGAUUCUUAGCACAGAAUUUUUUGUGUGUUUGUGUGUGUUGAUGUUGCUUUUUUUUUUUUUUUUUUUUUUUUUUUGGUUCUUUUUUUCGGAGCUGGGGACCGAACCCAGGCCUUGCGCUUCCCAGGUAAGCGCUCUACCACUGAGCUAAAUCCCCAGCCCCGUGUUGAUGUUUCUUUAAUGACCUGAAAUAGCUCUGUGUGUUGUGAAUGGUUGGAUCACCUUGAUCUUGAUUGUGUUGAGUUUAAUUGUCAGCUUCCUGUCUGGAAGAAAGGGAGGGAAAGAACAUAUCCUGUGUGUACUAAGCAUUCUUGCCCAUACCUUCAUCUCUGCAGAUAUGGACAUGGAACUUAAGAGUCAUUCAGUAAUUUGUUCAAGUGGUGUGCCUCCACAUUGACGUUGACUCCCCCAGGCCUCAGGUCACAUGCUGUCAUGUCUUUGUAGACAAAUCUUUUUCUGUCCAUGGCUGUAUAUGCACUCUUGUUACUUGGUACUUGUCGGAAUAUCCAGGUCUUUCUCGCUCUUCCAUUGAGGUGUCCUUGUUCUGAUUAAGGCUGCUGUUACAGUGCUCAUGGCUUCUGUUCAACAAGGCACUCAUGGUCCACUCGAAUAACCAGUCGUUCUGGUUAUAAUUCUUACUGCCUACUUUUUUGUACCAUUUUCCUUUAGUGAAACAAAGGUAUAAUGGUGCAAAGGAUUGAUUUUUUAAGACACUAAAGACUUUGACCUCAGCUUCAGUUUCCCUACUUUAAGGUACUAACUGGGUGUGGUGGCACAUACCUGUAGAUGCUAGCAUUGGGAGGCAGACACAGGCUGGUCUACAGAGUAAGUUCAGGAUAGUCAGAGCUACAUAGACAGACCUUGUCUCAAAAUAAAAUAAAUACGUAUAAAGUAAUAACUAGAAUACAUUUAAAAACACUAAAACCCAAUGCAGACUUAAUUUUACAACUAAUUUUGAUGUUCCUAAUUCUUAGACUUUCUAUAUUGGGUAUUGAGUGGAUGAAUCCUUUUUUUUUUUUUCUUUUAAGAUUUCUUACUUGCUUGCUAUGAAUCUUUAUUUACUCCCUCCUGCUAUUCUGAGUCUUCCCCACAACUUAAUGGCUCUUUAAAAACAUUUCCCACUGUAUAAGGUCAUCCUUUGGGCAUGGGCAGCCCACCAGUAGCCAGCCCAGUACACACUGUGCAGGCAAGGGCCAAGAAAGGUAUGGGUAUACUGAAGGCUAGUCAUGCUCUUAUGUGGGGCCCUGUCUCCAAACUGAAGCUGAGGCAUUCACAGUCAAAUGCCAGUGCACUAUAGAAACUACUUCGUUAGAGGAAGGCCCGUGGUGAUCCUGGAGAAGGCCUGGAGAAGGCCAGCUGCAGGUCAGGAAGUUCUUCUACCAGCUGGCUCAGCCGAGCUUUGGGGAUGUCAUUGUACUCUUGUCUGUUGGAGAAACAGCCAUGCCUUUAGGUGGAAGAGCUGACUGACUCAUGCACAGGUGAGAUGGCCUUGAGUGGCCCUGGCUUCAGAGCUGUUAAGAGCAGCUGAUAGAGGACAGAAAUGGAGGAAGCUAAACUGCGGAAAGGAUGAGUUAUACAUGAAAAUGUCUUGGUUCUUAGGACUCAAAGUAGUGUUUCAGUGGAGGCUAUGGAGCAGUCCAGAGAUUGUUUUAAACUCUGAUGAAACAUUUUAAGCCCAAAGAAAGACCUUAGCAUUGCCUUUCUGACCUAGGGUAGCGUAAACCAUGACAGAGAAUUUAGGACCAUUGGAGCGAAAGCACAGAAGACAGGCAAUGUGGUUGUCCAUCAUGGCUACAGCUACACAGGGUCUCUUCAUCCAGCACCUUCCUCAGCAGCUAAAUGUGGCUAAUAUCUCUCAGUGCUGACUUAGGAAAUUUCUGGGAAGACUUGGAGAGAAUGAACAUUUGUAAGACUGUUGUAAUUGGCAUCUGUAGGUGUUUUAUAGGAACUAUAAACCUGGUGCUAGUGGUAAUUCUGGUAGCCCCAACCACUUUUUACCAACUACUUUUUUUUUUUUAACUUGUUCCUGAUACAGGAUCUCAUGUAGCCCAUGCUGUCUUGAACACAGUGUAUAGCUGAGGAUAAUCUAGAAUUUUUUAUUCUCCUGCCUCCACCUCUUGAGUGCUAGGGUACGGACUUGAGUAGCCAACUAUGCUUGGUUUAUGCUCUGGUGGGGCUCAAACUUGAGCUUUGUUCAUGGCAGGUAGGCAGGUAAGCACCUUGCCAGCUCAUACAUUCCAAGCCCUUUUCCUUUUGGAGACAGGGCCCACUCUAUAGCUCAGGUUAACCUCAGUCUGCAGUGGUCCUCUGUUUCAGCCUCCCGAGUGUGGGAAUCACUGGCAUGAGCCACUGUGCCUACUCCUCUUCCCUCUGUCUUUUCUCCCUGCCUCGCUUUCUCCCCACCCCUUCUUUCUCUGUCAGAGGCAUCACAGUGGCACUCAGGGUUGAAAAGUAGCUCCUUUAUCACCAUUUUACAUAUUCCAAGAUAGUUAGAAAUUCCUCCUUAAAUCCCAAAGUUGUAGAAACGAACAUACACAUGUGUUUCCUGUGCUAAGAGAGUCUGUCAUUAGAAAAAGGAUUAUAGGAAGAUACUAACAAUUUGCUCAACAGACACAACAGAUAGAAUCUUACUUAAGGUUUGGUGGUACCGGCUUCCUUAGUGGCAUUACAAAAUAGAAUAUGUGGGGCAUAUCUGCAUGUUUGUUUUUGACGUUAUUUAUAUAAAGCAGAUAAUCUGUGUAUUUUGUAUUUGUGAACAACUGGAGUGUGAGGGAGAUGGCUUUGUAAAAAGGGUUUCUUGGUUUCAGAAUUAUUGCUGGGGAUCGUGAAUAUAUACUGUACUGCGAUGUGUUUAUCUCCUGCUUUAUCUGUAUUUGAUAUAAAAUUCUUGAGAAAACUUGCUGCCUUUCAAACUGUUUCUUUGGGAUGAGGCUUAAAUCGUAAAUUGGGAAAAAAAGUGGCUUCUGGUCCCCAGAACUUUGGGGUUUGGAGACAGAGCUUUAGAAUGGUGGUGACAAAGGCUUGAGUUGUUAAUGCCUUUGUUUCAGGGAAUCUUCCCAACCUCCUGUGAUAGUCAGGGGAGAGGGAGAGGGAGAGGGAGAGGGAGGAGGGAGGGAGCACAGGAGGAAGGAGGCAGUUUUACUGGGACAACAGUACAGAGACAGGUUGCAGAGAGAACAAGCUAGACACAGGUGAAGAGAGAAGGAGCCAGAGAACAAGAAGGAUCCAGAAGAUUGGAACGUAUUGUCAGGACUAGUUUGAGGCAAUUCAAGAGAGGCUGAGAGACGACAGAUUGAGUCAUCGGGAAGAGGCAUUUUGAGUCAGAACAGCUGACUUGGCCAACCAGCCAGAGCUCAGAAAGAACAAGAAAGGAUGACCUUACUUAGCAGAGAAUUUUAAACACAAAGACUAUAUAGACCAUCAGAAGGAUAAAGUUGCUUUAACAUUGGCUCGCCUGGCCCGCCAUGUUGAAGUGGAAAAACAACAAAAAGAAGAGAAGAACAGGGCAUUCAGGG